AUUGAACGCUGGCGGCAGGCCUAACACAUGCAAGUCGAACGGUAACAGGAAGAAGCUUGCUUCUUUGCUGACGAGUGGCGGACGGGUGAGUAAUGUCUGGGAAACUGCCUGAUGGAGGGGGAUAACUACUGGAAACGGUAGCUAAUACCGCAUAACGUCGCAAGACCAAAGAGGGGUACCUUCGGGCCUCUUGCCAUCGGAUGUGCCCAGAUGGGAUUAGCUAGUAGGUGGGGUAACGGCUCACCUAGGCGACGAUCCCUAGCUGGUCUGAGAGGAUGACCAGCCACACUGGAACUGAGACACGGUCCAGACUCCUACGGGAGGCAGCAGUGGGGAAUAUUGCACAAUGGGCGCAAGCCUGAUGCAGCCAUGCCGCGUGUAUGAAGAAGGCCUUCGGGUUGUAAGUACUUUCAGCGGGGAGGAAGGGAGUAAAGUUAAUACCUUUGCUCAUUGACGUUACCCGCAGAAGAAGCACCGGCUAACUCCGUG
Molecule: ribosomal RNA, 489 nt
Filed under: uncultured bacterium
Lineage: Bacteria
Description: partial 16S ribosomal RNA
Rfam family: Bacterial small subunit ribosomal RNA
Source: RNAcentral